GAUGAAGAACGCAGCGAAAUGCGAUAAGUAAUGUGAAUUGCAGAAUUCAGUGAAUCAUCGAGUUUUUGAACGCAUAUUGCGCCCUCUGGUAUUCCGGGGGGCAUGCCUGUUCGAGCGUCAUUAAAUAACCCUCAAGCAUAGCUUGGUGUUGGGCUUUUUUACGUCCUUGACUGGGAUGGGCCUAAAAAUUAGUGGCGAUGGCUUUUUUACUUUCAAGCGUAGUAAAUCUCGUCUUGCUAAAGAGGAAAAAGAUUUUUUUUCUGCCAAAAAUUUUAACAUUUAAAGUUGACCUCGGAUCAGGUAGGGAUACCCGCUGAACUUAAGCAUAUCAAUAAGCGGAGGA
RNAcentral lists this unclassified non-coding RNA (343 nucleotides) under soil metagenome. RNAcentral's name for it is "partial contains 5.8S ribosomal RNA, internal transcribed spacer 2, and large subunit ribosomal RNA". The stretch from base 1 to 120 matches the Rfam family "5.8S ribosomal RNA", at positions 35 to 154 of the family's 154-position model. The record is from RNAcentral.